RNAcentral lists this ribosomal RNA (402 nucleotides) under uncultured bacterium. RNAcentral's name for it is "bacterial SSU rRNA". It matches the Rfam family "Bacterial small subunit ribosomal RNA", at positions 355 to 774 of the family's 1533-position model. The record is from RNAcentral.
UCGGGAAUUUUGGGCAAUGGGCGAAGGCCUGACCCAGCAACGCCGCGUGAGGGAUGAAGUAUUUCGGUAUGUAAACCUCGAAAGAAUGGGAAGAAUAAAUGACGGUACCAUUUAUAAGCUCCGGCUAACUACGUGCCAGCAGCCGCGGUAAUACGUAGGGAGCAAGCGUUGUUCGGAUUUACUGGGCGUAAAGGGCGCGUAGGCGGCGCGGUAAGUCACUUGUGAAAUCUCUGAGCUUAACUCAGAACGGCCAAGUGAUACUGCUGUGCUAGAGUGCGGAAGAGGCAACCGGAAUUCUUGGUGUAGCGGUGAAAUGCGUAGAUAUCAAGAGGAACACCUGAGGCGAAGGCGGGUUGCUGGGCCGACACUGACGCUGAUGCGCGAAAGCCAGGGGAGCAAACG